UUGACCUCAAAUCAGGUAGGACUACCCGCUGAACUUAAGCAUAUCAAUAAGCGGAGGAAAAGAAACUAACAAGGAUUCCCCUAGUAACUGCGAGUGAAGCGGGAAAAGCUCAAAUUUGAAAUCUGGCGGUUCUUUGACCUGUCCGAGUUGUAAUCUAGAGAAGUGCUACCUGUGCUGGACCAUGUACAAGUCUCCUGGAAUGGAGCAUCACAGAGGGUGAGAAUCCCGUCUUUGACAUGGACUGCCUGUAUGAUAUGGUGCGCUCUCGAAGAGUCGAGUUGUUUGGGAAUGCAGCUCAAAAUGGGUGGUAAAUGCCAUCUAAAGCUAAAUAUUGGCGAGAGACCGAUAGCGAACAAGUACCGUGAGGGAAAGAUGAAAAGAACUUUGGAAAGAGAGUUAAACAGUACGUGAAAUUGCUGAAAGGGAAACGCUUGAAGUCAGUCACGUUGGCUAGAAAUCAGCCUUGCUUUUGCUUGGUGUACUUUCUGGUUGAUGGGUCAGCAUCAAUUUUGACCAUUGGAUAAAGUCACUGGGAAUGUGGCAUCUUAGGAUGUGUUAUAGCCCUUUGUCGCAUACAGUGGUUGGGAUUGAGGAACUCAGCACGCCGCAAGGGCCGGGUCUUUUGAUCACGUUCGUGCUUAGGAUGCUGGCAUAAUGGCUUUAAUCGACCCGUC
Molecule: ribosomal RNA, 674 nt
Filed under: Inocybe glabrescens
Lineage: Eukaryota; Fungi; Basidiomycota; Agaricomycetes; Agaricales; Inocybaceae
Description: eukaryotic LSU rRNA
Rfam family: Eukaryotic large subunit ribosomal RNA
Source: RNAcentral